This 492-nucleotide ribosomal RNA is filed under the name uncultured bacterium. RNAcentral describes it as "bacterial SSU rRNA". It matches the Rfam family "Bacterial small subunit ribosomal RNA", at positions 337 to 830 of the family's 1533-position model. The record is from RNAcentral.
UCCUACGGGAGGCAGCAGUGGGGAAUAUUGCACAAUGGGCGCAAGCCUGAUGCAGCGACGCCGCGUGAGGGAUGACGGCCUUCGGGUUGUAAACCUCUUUCAGUAGGGAACAAGGCUGCACGUUGUGUGGUUGAGGGUACUUGCAGAAGAAGCGCCGGCUAACUACGUGCCAGCAGCCGCGGUAAUACGUAGGGCGCAAGCGUUAUCCGGAAUUAUUGGGCGUAAAGAGCUCGUAGGCGGUUUGUCGCGUCUGCCGUGAAAGUCCGGGGCUCAACCCCGGAUCUGCGGUGGGUACGGGCAGACUAGAGUGAUGUAGGGGAGACUGGAAUUCCUGGUGUAGCGGUGAAAUGCGCAGAUAUCAGGAGGAACACCGAUGGCGAAGGCAGGUCUCCGGGCAUUAACUGACGCUGAGGAGCGAAAGCAUGGGGAGCGAACAGGAUUAGAUACCCUGGUAGUCCAUGCCGUAAACGUUGGGCACUAGGAGUGGGGGAC